This 75-nucleotide transfer RNA is filed under the name Rhodoferax sp. RNAcentral describes it as "tRNA-Arg". It matches the Rfam family "tRNA". From Rfam's summary of the family: Transfer RNA (tRNA) molecules are approximately 80 nucleotides in length. Their secondary structure includes four short double-helical elements and three loops (D, anti-codon, and T loops). Lineage: Bacteria; Pseudomonadati; Pseudomonadota; Betaproteobacteria; Burkholderiales; Comamonadaceae. The record is from RNAcentral. RNAcentral also lists the same sequence under 3 other names.
CUCGCCGUAGCACAACGGAUAGUGCUUUCGCCUCCUAAGCGAAGGAUUCAGGUUCGAUUCCUGACGGUGAGACCA